This 57-nucleotide transfer RNA is filed under the name Bos taurus (domestic cattle). It matches the Rfam family "tRNA", at positions 8 to 63 of the family's 71-position model. Rfam says of the family: Transfer RNA (tRNA) molecules are approximately 80 nucleotides in length. Their secondary structure includes four short double-helical elements and three loops (D, anti-codon, and T loops). Further hydrogen bonds mediate the characteristic L-shaped molecular structure. tRNAs have two regions of fundamental functional importance: the anti-codon, which is responsible for specific mRNA codon recognition, and the 3' end, to which the tRNAs corresponding amino acid is attached (by aminoacyl-tRNA synthetases). tRNAs cope with the degeneracy of the genetic code in two manners: having more than one tRNA (with a specific anti-codon) for a particular amino acid; and 'wobble' base-pairing, i.e. permitting non-standard base-pairing at the 3rd anti-codon position. RNAcentral also lists the same sequence under 7 other names. Lineage: Eukaryota; Metazoa; Chordata; Mammalia; Artiodactyla; Bovidae. The record is from Rfam by way of RNAcentral.
UAGCUCAGUGGGUAAAGAAUCUGCUUGCAAUGCAGGAGACCCAGGUUUGAUUCCUGG